UUCAGCUCGUGUCGUGAGAUGUCCGUUGUAAAUCCAUCGGCGCCAGGGGCUUUCUUGGGAUUAAAGGAUCGGGUAGCUGUUUGCAGCUCGGCCAAGGUGAAAGGGGGAUCCCAUACGUCACCAUGGGUUGCUACA
This 135-nucleotide ribosomal RNA is filed under the name Bombyx mori (domestic silkworm). Its description in RNAcentral is "partial 16S ribosomal RNA". The record is from RNAcentral. Lineage: Eukaryota; Metazoa; Arthropoda; Insecta; Lepidoptera; Bombycidae.